UACGUAGGGGGCAAGCGUUGUCCGGAAUCAUUGGGCGUAAGCGCGUGUAGGCGGCUUGGUAAGUCCGCCCUGAAAGCCCGGGGCUCAACCCCGGGAGGCGGGUGGAUACUGUCAAGCUCGAGUCCGGAAGAGGCGAGUGGAAUUCCUGGUGUAGCGGUGAAAUGCGCAGAUAUCAGGAGGAACACCAAUGGCGAAGGCAGCUCGCUGGGACGUGACUGACGCUGAGACGCGAAAGCGUGGGGAGCAAACAGG
This 252-nucleotide ribosomal RNA is filed under the name uncultured bacterium. RNAcentral's name for it is "partial 16S ribosomal RNA". It matches the Rfam family "Bacterial small subunit ribosomal RNA", at positions 524 to 776 of the family's 1533-position model. The record is from RNAcentral.